Molecule: ribosomal RNA, 212 nt
Filed under: uncultured bacterium
Lineage: Bacteria
Description: partial 16S ribosomal RNA
Rfam family: Bacterial small subunit ribosomal RNA
Source: RNAcentral
UACGAAGGGGGCUAGCGUUGCUCGGAAUCACUGGGCGUAAAGCGCACGUAGGCGGACUUUUAAGUCGGAGGUGAAAUCCUGGAGCUCAACUCCAGAACUGCCUUCGAUACUGAGAGUCUUCGAGUUCGGGAGAGGUGAGUGGAACUGCGAGUGUAGAGGUGAAAUUCGUAGAUAUUCGCAAGAACACCAGUGGCGAAGGCGGCUCACUGGCC